AGCGAACGUUUGCGGCGGGCCUAACACAUGCAAGUCGAACGCACUAGCAAUAGUGAGUGGCGCACGGGUGCGUAACACGUGGGUAAUCAACCCUUCAGCUUGGGAUAACGACUUGAAAGGGUCGCUAAUACCGGAUACGGCGCGGGAGGCUUCGGCUUCUCACGAGAAAGCCUCGCAAGGGGCACUGAAGGACGAGCCUGCGGCCCAUCAGCUAGUUGGUGAGGUAAGAGCUCACCAAGGCGAAGACGGGUAGCUGGUCUGAGAGGAUGAUCAGCCACACUGGAACUGAGACACGGUCCAGACUCCUACGGGAGGCAGCAGUGGGGAAUAUUGCGCAAUGGGCGAAAGCCUGACGCAGCCACGCCGCGUGAGCGAUGAAGGCCUCGGGUCGUAAAGCUCUGUGGGGAGGAGACGAAGAAAGACCCGUGAAGAGCGGGCC
This 439-nucleotide ribosomal RNA is filed under the name uncultured bacterium. RNAcentral's name for it is "bacterial SSU rRNA". It matches the Rfam family "Bacterial small subunit ribosomal RNA", at positions 30 to 469 of the family's 1533-position model. The record is from RNAcentral.